GUAAACGGUUAACACGUGAAAUGUAAAUUGCGAUAAUAAUUUAAAUAAUUAAAUUAGUAAAAGUGCAUCAAAUUUAAUAAAAUUUGUAACAAAUUAAAGAGAAAAUUGUAAUCUUUAAGAUGAUAUAAAAAUUAGAAUACAAGAUAUUGUAAAAAAGCUUAAAUCAGUGAAUAAAGUUUGUAACAAUAGUGAUUGCCAAAAAUUUGAUUAAGUAAACCAGUGCAAAGCGUAAAGGGCAAGAAAAGCAACAACAAGUGCAAAACAAAAAGGCUCAGAAAAGCAACAACAAGUGGACAAGUAAAGAACAUAGCAAAUGUCACGCCACAUUUGUAUGAAUUAUAAUAAAAUAAAAAGCAAUAACAAAAUGCUAGUUAAGACAAAUCUCUUUAUGAGUGAAUGUUGUUUUUGUUGUAGAUGGAAAAAAGUGUGUCAACUAAAUGUGUUAAUAAAUAUCACAAUUAAAUUGUAUAUAAAAUAGAUUUGCAAAAAAAUAUAAAAUAAUAAAAAAGUGUUGAACUGUAAAUAUGUAUAAUAAAAUAAAAAAGUUUAAAACAAUAAUAAAAUUAUAAUAAAAUACUAUGAAAUGUUUAACGGCUGGUUCUACAGUGUACUUUAAGUUGCUGCUACUGGUGAUGACUAUGCUGAGCUGCUGCUGAUGUUGAUGUUUAGAUGACGAUGGUGAUCUAAUGUUAAACAAUGUUGCUGGCAAUCUUUUCAUAUUGUUAUAUGAUGAUUUUGUUGUUAUUAUCGAUGCUGCUGUUACUGUUUUGUUGUUGUUGCCGUUGUUAUUGUUGUGUGGAGCGUGAAAUUAUGGCUUUUGUGGUUUGGCUUAUUGGGUUACUGCUGGACAUUUCUUAACUGUGCCUUGGUUUGGAAGUUCCGUCUUAACAGUUGUAGUGUUUGUCUAUAUUUAACGCAUGUCGCUUCGGCAAUUAGAGUAAUCCAAGCCAUGUAACGGCGGGAUAUUGAAAAAUUGCAAACCAACGUAACAGUUUGAUACUACAAUGUUUUUGUGGUGAUAAAAUUGAGCUGAAUGAAAAUUUUCAGCUAGGUAUGAGGUUUUACUAAACGUAAAUGAAAAUUGAAGGAUUUUUUCUAACAUAUGGAUAAUUUAUCUUUCAUAUUGUAAUUGGUGAGAUCAGUUUUCACCCAAUUAAUUUAUGUAAAGAUCAUUUCUCGUUUCUCAGUCAUCAGGAGAAUCAUAAAGCGAUUGUUAUAGUUUGACUUGGGCAUUUCCAAUUUACUUUUAUUUUGUUAAGAGAUUCCAUGUUCCUUUAUUAUGACAUCUAAUGUCAAAACCAAACUAAUUACUUCCAUACUUUCCACAACAAUCCAAACAUAAUGAUCUCUUAAAGAUUGAUCAUUUCUUUAUCAAAUC
This is a long non-coding RNA of Lucilia sericata (common green bottle fly), 1378 nucleotides long. RefSeq lists it as uncharacterized. The transcript is spliced from 3 exons. NCBI's taxonomy places the organism in Eukaryota, Metazoa, Arthropoda, Insecta, Diptera, Calliphoridae. The record is from RefSeq and is a predicted model, not a curated record.